Pezoporus flaviventris is the source of this 604-nucleotide long non-coding RNA. RefSeq lists it as uncharacterized. NCBI's taxonomy places the organism in Eukaryota, Metazoa, Chordata, Aves, Psittaciformes, Psittacidae. The record is from RefSeq and is a predicted model, not a curated record. The transcript is spliced from 2 exons.
ACUACUGUUGCUAUUACAUGUCUCCAUGGGUUUCUCUCUGAAACACUUUCUUACCACUGUUUUAGUGGCAAACUUAUUUUCCUAGGUUUGUAAUCUCUCUUCAGCCCAUGUAUUUCCAUGUGUUGUAGUUUUUCUUGCCAUUCUCCCUCUUUUCCCCUUGCUUCUGAAGAGUGUUGCAUUCCGCAGUUCUGUUGCCUCUCUGCUGUGUGUUUCUCUGAUGGCUGUUGCUGCUUUGCUUUAGAGCCACAGGAGUGAGUCCUUGAGUGAAUAACUACAUAUCACCCUGAAUAGAACAACCCUCAUGUACUUCAUCUGCAAAAAAUUCAGGAAAACUGGAAACUGCAUAAUAGCAACCAGCAGGAUAGCUGAGCCAAUUCAAGACUUUGGCACCAGAAGGCUUCUGUAGCCAUUUUGAUGUAUCCAAGUCUGUCUCUUCUGUUUCAUUCCCAAACGUAUUUGCCCCAUAAAAAAUGCAAAGAUAAAACAGCAUAAAUGUGUAUAGAAGAUAUCGCUUAGCAAAGUCAACAGAGGGGAAAAACAGUGUUGAGAAUUCUACCACAACCAAACAAGACUCUAAUAAUAAAAGAAAUACAGUAGUGAUAGC